UACGUAGGGCGCAAGCGUUAUCCGGAAUUAUUGGGCGUAAAGAGCUCGUAGGCGGUUUGUCGCGUCUGCCGUGAAAGUCCGGGGCUCAACUCCGGAUCUGCGGUGGGUACGGGCAGGCUAGAGUGAUGUAGGGGAGACUGGAAUUCCUGGUGUAGCGGUGAAAUGCGCAGAUAUCAGGAGGAACACCGAUGGCGAAGGCAGGUCUCUGGGCAUUAACUGACGCUGAGGAGCGAAAGCAUGGGGAGCGAACAGGAUUAGAUACCCUGGUAGUCCAUGCCGUAAACGUUGGGCACUAGGUGUGGGGGACAUUCCACGUUUUCCGCGCCGUAGCUAACGCAUUAAGUGCCCCGCCUGGGGAGUACGGCCGCAAGGCUAAAACUCAAAG
This 385-nucleotide ribosomal RNA is filed under the name uncultured bacterium. Its description in RNAcentral is "bacterial SSU rRNA". It matches the Rfam family "Bacterial small subunit ribosomal RNA", at positions 524 to 906 of the family's 1533-position model. The record is from RNAcentral.